CAUUAAGAAGCUAAUUCAGCAUUAACCUUUUAAGUUAGAGAUUGGGAGGCCUAAUCUCCCCUUAAUGA
RNAcentral lists this transfer RNA (68 nucleotides) under Lophostoma brasiliense (Pygmy round-eared bat). RNAcentral's name for it is "tRNA-Lys". The record is from RNAcentral. Lineage: Eukaryota; Metazoa; Chordata; Mammalia; Chiroptera; Phyllostomidae.